RNAcentral lists this transfer RNA (76 nucleotides) under Bryobacterales bacterium. RNAcentral describes it as "tRNA-His". It matches the Rfam family "tRNA". From Rfam's summary of the family: Transfer RNA (tRNA) molecules are approximately 80 nucleotides in length. Their secondary structure includes four short double-helical elements and three loops (D, anti-codon, and T loops). Further hydrogen bonds mediate the characteristic L-shaped molecular structure. tRNAs have two regions of fundamental functional importance: the anti-codon, which is responsible for specific mRNA codon recognition, and the 3' end, to which the tRNAs corresponding amino acid is attached (by aminoacyl-tRNA synthetases). tRNAs cope with the degeneracy of the genetic code in two manners: having more than one tRNA (with a specific anti-codon) for a particular amino acid; and 'wobble' base-pairing, i.e. permitting non-standard base-pairing at the 3rd anti-codon position. Lineage: Bacteria; Pseudomonadati; Acidobacteriota; Terriglobia; Bryobacterales. The record is from RNAcentral.
GUGGCUAUAGCUCAGUCGGUAGAGCGCUGGAUUGUGGUUCCAGAAGUCGUGGGUUCAAAUCCCACUAGCCACCCCA